Molecule: long non-coding RNA, 2627 nt
Organism: Phascolarctos cinereus (koala)
Lineage: Eukaryota; Metazoa; Chordata; Mammalia; Diprotodontia; Phascolarctidae
Source: RefSeq, a predicted model, not a curated record
UUAGUAGAGGCUCAUUAAGCAGGAAGACUUUUAGGUGUGGAGCCCCAAGAUACACCACCAUCUGAGACCAGCACCAGGACCCCGAAACCUCUUGAAAGAACAGAAUGUGGAACUGACUCUAAAAAAGAUAAGAUUGAAUGUAAAGCCUUUAUUGAGGGCCAGGCAAGAAGCUCUGGGCUUGAGUUCUGCCUUUGAAAUGUACUAGCUGUGUGACCAAAUGCCAAUCAGGUAACCUUCUUUGGACAAAUCUCCAAGGCUAUAGGUUACAGGAGUCUGCAGGAGAAGAGUUUUCCUACUGAGAUGUCUUUACACUACUGAAAACGCAGUUCUGGAACAAUAAAUUCUGCAGUUUUGCAUCAAGCAAGUCUAUUGGCACCAUUUUGCCAACACCUGUGUUCACCUGUGUCUCUGUGACACAUUUUGGCUGCUCAACAGAUGCCGGAUAAACAAUAUACAAAACUACAAAGUUGCAAUUCUAUUCAACACAAUUAUGGGCCAAAAUUUUUUCCCCCCUUUUCUUUACUGCUAGAAAUCUGGAGCCCACGCGUCUCUUUUAAAAGUUUCAUUGCUACCAUUUGUUUCAUAUCACAUUCAUUUCCUGUUAUCUCCCUACCCCCACUUUUCUCUUUUAUCAAAGAUCACUCCUCACCCACAACAGUUCAGCCAAAGCAACUGAUACAUAUCUAUAUCUAUAUAUCUAUAUCUAUCUAUCUAUCUAUCUAUCUAUCUAUCUAUCUAUCUAUCUAUCUAUCUAUCUAUACACACACACACACGGUUUUUUUUUUCAGCAGUCCUCUUGGGACUUAGGGAUCUUAGAGGACUCAGAUGUGUGGAAGGAGCCCCACUGUUCAAAGUUCAUGUGUGUACCUGAAUGUGAUCACCAACAUCAUUGGCUUGGCCCUCUGCCAAGCUAAUAAGAUAGUCUUCUGACUAUAUACCUCUCAUAUCCCUGAACCAUCAUCAUAUGAUGGCCCUAAACACCAUAUGGCUUCUGAUCCAUAGGCUGGGGAUUACUGAAUUUUCCCCUCUUAAAUGCAAAUGGUAUAUAGGAACCCGGCUGCUGUUAUCCAAAGGAGUUCAGAUGAAGCCCACACCCAAAUGCUACAUUGGUUAUAAAUGGCUUCCUCUAUAUAGAUUCAGGGUCUCAGAGGAUUGAACAGUAGCUCAUCUGCUUUCAUGUUUUCCUUUGGAAUUCAGUAAUGAACUCAUUAAAUCACCAACUUGUUGUGACAGAAAGUCAUUCAGAUGCUGAUGCCAUUGCCAUGGAAACCACUCCUCUGCUCAGGAGAUCUGUCUGUCUCUUCCUGAGGAGUGCUGGCUCCAUAAUUACCAGCACCCCAAAUAACACAGAGGUAUCACGACUGCGAGUGCAUGCAGAUCCCAAAGUGGGGAUGUAAAGCAACUCCACAGAGGGGCUGUUUCUUCCUGUUUCUUCUCCCUAGGCCUAAGUGGGAAGGGGGUGUCCUUGCUCAGUGCAAUUUGAUGGUUAGCAAAUAGCUCCCAUUGAGAGAGCUGGGCUAUACCGCCAGCUGGUCCACACCGCCUUCCAAUUUUCCAAGCUGCUGGCUAAUGACGUUUGGACUUGCACCGAACAAUUGCUUUGCUUGGUAUCUGACAGAUCCUAGAAAGUCAGACAAAGGCUGUUCUUUUGGAAGCCUCUCAAGGCUGCUCUUAUAAAGUGAACCUACUGUUCCCUUAUCUCUUUAUGUCUUCAAAACUCACAGAGGUGGUCUCAGUUGUGAUUAUUCUUGAAUUUUUAGAUACCAAGCAAGCUACUGUGAAGCACAAAUUCAAAUGCCAUUCACUGGCAAUUGGGAAAAUUGCAAAGUAGUGAGGACCAGUGCUUUCUCCAUGCUGCUGUUUGCUCAACAUGUCAUAUUUAACUAAACUUCCUCUUUGCCCUUCCCACCUACCCACGGGGAGAAAAGAUGGAUAGAAGCAAUACGUCUUUGGAUCUCAAGCUACGAUUUUACAACGAGAUUGUGACAUCUAGCUCUUGCCCCUCCCCAUAGAAACAUUAAUGGCUAAAAGUCAAAAGUAGAUGAAACACUUCAUUAACCUAUUACUGCAACUUCUAGACUAAGCUUGUAUUCCUUUAUCCAAUCCCUCUUUGGUGAGGUAACAUCAUUUUGUUUCUAGUAUUGCAUAUAUCCAGAUGGAUCACAACUAGACCCAAAGGUCAGUGCCAAAAUGUAUUCCAGAGACAAUACAAGGAUCAGUGUUUUCACCCUUAAAAUUAUUCUUAAUUGAAAGUCGAUGAAUUUGCGGACAAAAGAACCAUUCUGUAGGUCAUUAAAUAUUGUAUUAAUGAGAGGAGGGAUCAUGUCUUUAAUGAGGUAUACAGAAUAUGGCACACUGAGAAUGACUAUAACAUUUCCUCCAUAUAUUUCCUAACCUUUGUCUGCUGAAAUCCUUCUCCUUCUUUCAAGGUCCAGGUUGAGUUGCAUCUUCUCUGUGAACUCUUUCCUGGUUCAUAGAGCAGAAGUGACCUUUCCCUUCUCAGACCUUCCUAGGGGACUCUCCCUUGACAGCCUUAUGGUCUAAUCACACUCUACCUUAUGUUACAUUUAUUUACAUAGUGAUCUUUCCACUAUUAGAUUUCAAGCUCCUGGACAGUAGGAACUUCU